AGAUUGAACGCUGGCGGCAGGCCUAACACAUGCAAGUCGAGCGGUAGAGAGGUGCUUGCAUCUCUUGAGAGCGGCGGACGGGUGAGUAAUGCCUAGGAAUCUGCCUAGUGGUGGGGGAUAACGUUCGGAAACGGACGCUAAUACCGCAUACGUCCUACGGGAGAAAGCGGGGGACCUUCGGGCCUCGCGCCAUUAGAUGAGCCUAGGUCGGAUUAGCUAGUUGGUGAGGUAAUGGCUCACCAAGGCGACGAUCCGUAACUGGUCUGAGAGGAUGAUCAGUCACACUGGAACUGAGACACGGUCCAGACUCCUACGGGAGCAGCAGGUGGGAAU
Molecule: ribosomal RNA, 333 nt
Filed under: uncultured soil bacterium
Lineage: Bacteria
Description: bacterial SSU rRNA
Rfam family: Bacterial small subunit ribosomal RNA
Source: RNAcentral